This 253-nucleotide ribosomal RNA is filed under the name uncultured bacterium. RNAcentral's name for it is "partial 16S ribosomal RNA". It matches the Rfam family "Bacterial small subunit ribosomal RNA", at positions 524 to 776 of the family's 1533-position model. The record is from RNAcentral.
UACAGAGGUCUCAAGCGUUGUUCGGAAUCACUGGGCGUAAAGCGUGCGUAGGCUGUUUCGUAAGUCGUGUGUGAAAGGCGCGGGCUCAACCCGCGGACGGCACAUGAUACUGCGAGACUAGAGUAAUGGAGGGGGAACCGGAAUUCUCGGUGUAGCAGUGAAGUGCGUAGAUAUCGAGAGGAACACUCGUGGCGAAGGCGGGUUCCUGGACAUUAACUGACGCUGAGGCACGAAGGCCAGGGGAGCGAAAGGG